This 253-nucleotide ribosomal RNA is filed under the name uncultured bacterium. RNAcentral describes it as "partial 16S ribosomal RNA". It matches the Rfam family "Bacterial small subunit ribosomal RNA", at positions 524 to 776 of the family's 1533-position model. The record is from RNAcentral.
UACGUAGGGUGCAAGCGUUACUCGGAAUCACUGGGCGUAAAGGGUGCGUAGGCGGCUCAUUAAGUUGGAUGUGAAAGCCCUCGGCUCAACCGAGGAACUGCGUCCAAAACUGGCGAGCUCGAGGAUGGUAGGGGAUAGUGGAACUCCAGGUGGAGCGGUGAAAUGCGUAGAGAUCUGGAGGAACGCCGGUGGCGAAAGCGACUAUCUGGGCCAUUCCUGACGCUGAGGCACGAAAGCCAGGGGAGCAAACGGG